UUUCCUUCUCCUUAUUAAUUUUUUCAUAUUUAUGUUUAAACAUUGAGGACAAUGUUUGGGAUAGGUGUGGGGGUAUUUACUGCUAGGUUAUAUUUUUGCAUUGAUUACAUUAUAUUUUUGCUUUCUUUUUUGUUUCAUUUUGCAUCUUUUUGCCCCAUAAACACACACCAAAAUUUUUUCUUUUUUCACACAUUUUUUUCUUCACACACACACAUAGAAUUUUGACUUAGCUUUUACUCUACUCAGCAUAGAUAACAAGGUUAAAAGAGCUUCCUAUCUCAUGACCCCAUUGAUUAUCCAACCCUUUAAACCUAAAUUGAACCAUGCACAGUGUGUAGCCUUUACUUAGGAAGUUUUUCUUCUUGAAUUGAGUUCUUGAAACUGCUGUGGCCAAUAGGAAAGGAAAAUAAAAUACAUGCAAUAAAAGUUAGUGUAAUUCUCUUUGAGUUGAUUUUCCCAAAUUGAUAUAAAAAGGAAAAAGAAAAAGAAAAACUCAGCAAAUCAAAAAGCACAACCUGUUCCUAUGAUCUAAGGCUAUGAACUGAGCUAAUAGUCACUUGGACAAGUGACCAACUGAGUAACCGGAG
This 587-nucleotide long non-coding RNA is filed under the name Manihot esculenta (cassava). RNAcentral's name for it is "long non-coding RNA (MESC_LNC009670)". Lineage: Eukaryota; Viridiplantae; Streptophyta; Magnoliopsida; Malpighiales; Euphorbiaceae. The record is from RNAcentral.